Non-coding RNA from Danionella cerebrum, 71 nucleotides. The record is from the annotation of a GenBank genome assembly. Lineage: Eukaryota; Metazoa; Chordata; Actinopteri; Cypriniformes; Danionidae.
UUGACAGUGGCUCAGUUGGUAGAGCAUUACACUAACAACACAAAUGCUUUGGGUUCAAAUCCCAGGGAAAG